UUAAACGUCUCGACUCCCGCUCAUCCCUAUCAUGAUUGCAUAUCCGUGGCCAGGUGGUGCUUGGGGGGUAUGUGCGUGGACGUGGAGCUGCAGCCCCACUUCCCCGCACUUCCCCCCUCCUGCUCCACGGAGAGGUCUUGGAAAGUCUUAGGCGAAGAGCUAUUUUAUGCUGGCAUAUGGCAAGGAAGUGGGCUGUGUGGCUUUCCCCAUUAUUAAGUCGGUUUGUUUUCUUGCAUUGGUCCUACAUUGCAAACUGUCCGCACAAUGCUAGCUGUUGC
This 278-nucleotide long non-coding RNA is filed under the name Volvox carteri. Its description in RNAcentral is "long non-coding RNA (VCAR_LNC000543)". Lineage: Eukaryota; Viridiplantae; Chlorophyta; Chlorophyceae; Chlamydomonadales; Volvocaceae. The record is from RNAcentral.